UUAUAUUGGUUUAGUUUGGUUUGGUUUUGACUAAAGAAAAAGUCAACUGUUUGAAAAACUGAAUUGAACUGGUUUGGUUUGGUUCAACUGCGGUUUGGGAGUUUUGUAAACAGUCCUAAACCAAACCAGACUGAUUAAAAAUGAAUUUAUUAUUUGUUUAAUUUAAUUUGCAUGUGGCAAGGCUUGAAUGGGUAUUUAAAAAGUGUACCAUGUACCCUUUGGCACCUGAUUGGACUCCAAAACUAAAACUCAUAGACUACUCUAUCUGACCUCUCUCAUUCCUUAAUUUCCUAACCCUAGCUGCAACUCCCUCUCCCUCUCAAGCUCUCACUCUCGUUCUCGUUCAACCUCAAAGCUCAACUCCAUCAUUGACCACCAUGUUCAACCUCAAAGCUCAACUCCUCCUGCUCCUCCUCCUUCAUCUAUAGAUUCUACUGCACCCACUUCCAUCAAGAAAGCCAGAGGCUGACCACCUAGUUCUACUAAGAAGCAACUAUUGGAUGCUUUGGGUAAAGCUUUUUUCUUUUUAUUAUUCUAAAUGGGUUUUCCUUGAAUCCUUUGAAUCUUAUUGGGUUGCUUUAAUUUUUUGUGGGUUGUGUUUUAAAUUUGCAUUGUUAUGUGUCUUUGAUAUUGCAAUUGUUUUUCUUUGUGUUUACCCUUGUUUGCCGCAUGGUGAUUUUUCAAUGUUUGAGUGAGUCGUUGGGUUUUAAUUUAAGGCAAUAGUGGCUUUGACUUAUUCACAUAUCAGGAUCAACUAAGUUCUAUUUUUAUGUACUUAUAAACCUCAGUCAAACAAAGGGAGAAGACAUACAUCAUCAGACACACAAACCUAUUUUUCGUCUUGCAUUUUUUCCCUUAGACUUAGGAUUUUACUUUUCAAGCACUUAGUGUAGCGAGUUCUUCCUUUUCUUAGUGUAAGUUUAGUUUCUUGCAAUUUACAUUAUAUUAUCUUUUAAAUUCAAGUCUAUGUCAAUUGCUUUACUUUUCAUUGUUAUAGCAUUUUCAUUAAGUUUAAUUUCAAGUAUAAUUUAGUUUAUCAUUCUUAUUUCAUUCUUGCUUUAUUUUACGUUUAUGUAAUACCCCAAAAAAUUAAAGGUGGACUUUCAUAUUUCAGUGAGAAUAGUAUUAUAGUGAAGAAUGAUUAUUGGUAUUUUAUCAACUGAUUUUGGAUUGAGAGUAUUGGAUUAAGUGUGUUUAAUUUCAAGUUGGACAACAAUGCCCUUACAUAACAUUUUGUGAAUUUUUCAAAGACAUUAAAGACAUUGAAGUGAGACAAUUAUGAUUCUUAGGUAAGAUUGUAGUAGUCGACUCAACGAACAUGUAGGAAAUCAUUUUUUAAUUUUGGGCCAAAAUGACCAAAAUACCCUAUAUGUGAAAAUUACCAAAAUACCCUUGUAGAAAAAAGAAAAAGAAAAAAAAAGAGGAAUGAAUCUGAAACGUGGAGAGCAGCAACCCCCUUCCACCAAUAUUUUUCAAAUGACAGAUGCAGCGGCUACACCAUGUUAUAUUGUAGCUGUCGCUCAUAUUUGACACAUGUGUAGACUUGGACGUGUUGGUCAUCGCAUUUUCGCAAUUCCCAGCCACCAGAUCAUGCUUUCGAAUUACCUUCGUUCUCUGUCUUUUAGGAUUUCAUUGUUUUGUUUCUAUUCUUGUUUCCUCUGUUUAUUUUUCAUACAUUGAGGACAAUGUGUGAUUUAAGUUUUGGAGUGGGAAAGUAAAUUUUAAAUUUUUAUUUUUGUUGAGUCUUGUUUAAAAUUUUCUUUUUUAAGUUAAUAUCCAUAGAUAAUUUUAAACGUUAGAACAAAUGGACAUGGUGAAGAUUAAUCUCACAGUAGAGUCUUUUCUAUUUAUUGUUGCUUAGACACUAAUUCAUGAAUUAUACUUUGAAAUUUGCACAUCAUACUAACAUGGUUUGUGGGGAGUGAGAUUGAAAUACGUACCUUUUGUCUAAGUGUGUUUUAAUUUUUGUUCAAUAUAAAUGAAGUUAGUAUGUGUUAUAAAGUAAUAAUUGCCUCACCCGAAGCUUUGCUAGUAACCGGGCCAAUCCUGCAUAAUCAGCAGUGAUUCUUGAGUCAAACGGUAGAAUUUUGGCAUGAGGCUAGGUGGUUAGUUGGUUUCGUAGCCUUUCCAGCUUGAGUUAAUAAGUCCUUAGGGGUGUUCUACACCUAGUGCCCUAAAGCCUUAGUGGUUUGGGAGUCAUUGACCUAAAUCUAGCUACAUGGGUUGGAUCGAAAGCUUAAGGGAACCGACAUUGCACAACCACUACUGUUACUGAAAAAAAAAAUUCAAAAAAGAAAAGAAAAAAAAGAAUUGUGAAGUUAGUAUGUGAAGUAUGAAUAAAAGGGAUGAGAGGUAAGGGUUUUGGUCGAGUCUCCUUAAUUAUGAUGGAUCACUCUACACCGAAGAAAGUUUAUGAAUUAUUUUCUAAUUGACUCUAAAUGGCUUAGACUCUGUAGUGGGAUUGGUUGGAACUUUUCAAAAUACGUUUUGGUUUUUAACAUUUUCUAUGGAUUGCAACUUGAAUGGAAAUUUUGUUUAGCUAGGUUUUAUUUAAAGUUUUUAGUUCGUUAGUUUUUGUGUUUGUUUUCUAGAUUUGCUUUGCUUGAGGACAAGCAAAAGCUAAGUUUGGGGGAUUUUGAUGGGUAUAUUUUAUAUUAUAUAUUUAACCCCAUUCUUAGUAUAUUUUGGUUAAUAUUUUGGAAGAAUUUUGAUACUUUGAAUUAUAUUCCCAAUAUAGGUCUUUCGACUUCCUUUGGAGCAAAACAUAAUCAAAUGGAAGAAUUUUGGAGUAAUUUCAGUUGGAGGACGUUCGUGAGUCACUUAGCUUGAUCGUAUCGAAAUUUUAGAUUUUUCUACCAAGCGGUUAUUUUCUGACAAUAAAAUAAAGGAGCAGUGCACGGUGCUGGAAUAGUGAUAUUUUGGAUUUUUAUUGUAUUUUGGUGCCCAAAAUGACCUCGGAUGGGUUUGUGGCCUUCUGGAGAAGUGUUCAGAAUAUUUUUAUCUUUAAAAUAAGCUAUCUUAGGCCAGAUUUGGAGGAGAUUCGAGGCCAAAAUGUGGCUGGGCAGAUUGUGGGCAGAUUCUCCUAUAAUCCAAUUUGGACUUUAUAUCUUAGUAUUAUUUCAUUUUUUAACUUAGUUUCCUUGUGGGGAUUGGGAAACUGGGUUUGGGGAUUGGGAAACUGGGUUUUAGGGGGGUAUUUAAGCUGGUUUUCAUAGCAAUUUUGGGACUUCUUUUUUGGCUUUUGAACGGGACAUUGUGGAGAGCAAUUGCUAGGGUUUUAGAGUUUUUGCGACUUUAAAGUGUUUUCAUUCUUUUCAUUCUUAAUAAUAUUUUUCAUGAUUUCAAUUAUGAAUAUGCGUAACUAAUUUUCUUUUGCUAGGGUGAAGCCUUGAACCUUAGCAUGAAUAUGUAAUUUUUAUUUAAUUGCUUAUGAUUGAUUGCAU
This 3443-nucleotide long non-coding RNA is filed under the name Prunus persica (peach). Its description in RNAcentral is "long non-coding RNA (PPER_LNC001990)". Lineage: Eukaryota; Viridiplantae; Streptophyta; Magnoliopsida; Rosales; Rosaceae. The record is from RNAcentral.